This 3219-nucleotide long non-coding RNA is filed under the name Pseudonaja textilis. RNAcentral's name for it is "lncRNA (ENSPTXG00000003044.1)". The record is from RNAcentral. Lineage: Eukaryota; Metazoa; Chordata; Lepidosauria; Squamata; Elapidae.
CAGUGGGGAAGACUCCUGUUAAUUUAGAUCACUUCAAUUCCCAAGUAUGUGUUGUUACAAGAGUUUUGAUUCUUCUUCAUUUAUUCAUAUAGGUGGCGGCUUCAGGAGAAGGUUCCUCUAUCAAUGGGUAUCUCAGUAGAUGCAAGAGAGGGAAAAGGCACUGGAAAAAGUUGUGGUUUGUUAUCAAAGGAAAGGUGCUCUACACAUACACAGCAAAUGAAGAUAAAGUCGCCACUGAGAGUAUGCCUUUGCUGGGUUUCACAAUUGUCCCAGAAAAGGAAGAUCGAAAUAUGGAUGCAGUUUUCCAUCUUUACCACAAGCAAACUCUGUUUUAUAGCUUCCGAGCAGAGGAUAAUAAUUCAGCACAGAGAUGGAUUGAAGCCAUGGAGGAAGCAUCUAUAUUAUAGCAUCAUCCAAGUGGAUUCUGAUUUAAUGCAAGAUUACCCAUAUAUUGAAAAGAACAAUAUAUAUAAUCCAAAUCUGGCUAAACAUAUGAAAAAGAAUAUGUAGAAGCCUAUAAUUUUUCCAUUCUUAAACCUAUCUCCUUGCUGAUGGAAACAAAACAAAGGGAAUAUUUAUGGACCCUUUUUAUCUUUGCAGGUUUAUCACUAAACUGUGCUCUCAUCUAACAGUUGCAUCAUGUUUUCAAGAAGUUAAACAUAUGCAUUUCUUCUAAAAGAGUUGUUUUCUCAUAACUCUGUUUUAUUUUCUUUAAGAUAACAAUUUGAUUUGUGCCAGUCAUAAAACUGAGGGUUUUUUUACAUUAAAAUUUUGUUGCCUUUCUUCUUUUUUUUGAUUUUUAAAAAUAAACAGGAGAUUCUUUCUUCUUUCUUGAAAGAGGUUUACACUGGCGUGCAGUUAAGAAUGCAAGGAUGAAGGGAUAUACAUAAUCUCUACCAUAGAAAGUAUGUGAAAAUCUAUUCCAGGCUGGCAUUAGACCAUCUAUGGUAAUUGUAUAGCAUUUCUCAUAAACAGUGGUAACACCUUAGUUUUGUUUAUUAGGACUCUUAAUCCACUUCAAAUUCCAACCGAGUUUUUAUGAAGACUGUACCAGUUUCUACUCCAAAGGAUAUUAAAACAUUAAUUUAUUAUAAGCCUUUACAUUUUGUUUAAAAUUGAUUUAUCUAAAUUAUAUUAUUUUAAUAGCCGAGAGGAGCAGAUCUUAUUUAUAAAUCUUAUUCCUAAAAUAUAAUUCUAAACCCAAAACAGUCAUCAACUUCAGAAAGGAGGAGCAUUUAACUAUAUUUAUUUAGUCAACUAGAAAAGCUCUGGAAAGCCUUGCCUAAAUCUUAUCUUCAACAGUUAUAUAGGAUGUCAUUCGAUUGGAGCAACCAAUAUUAUUAAUGCUAUUAUCAGCUCAAAAAUGAUAAUUCAGAUUCCAUUGUAUUUAGCCAGCUGAUCAAAUGCAAGCAUACUGUAGUUGUUGCUAUAACUACUACUUCUAAUAAAAUUCAUGGAUACUAUUUGGCAGUAGCCAUAGCACCUCACAAUUGCAUUCAUACAACAUGCUUAACCAGGUCAAUUACAGUUUUAACAGCUGCAAUUGUACCAAAUGCUGAAUUAGUGUUAGACUUGAUUUGCUUUCUUUCAUGACUAAACUAAGUCAAUUCAGUUAGUUUACAGUCCAGUUUAUUUCACAAACCUGAAUAUGAGUUAAUCAGUUAAUUCGUUAACCAAAUUAUGAUGUUCUAUGAUGGUAGACACAUUAUGCUCCGAGUACAAGUAAUCAAGGUCUUUAAAAUUUAGCUGUCAUUAAAAUUUAGAUUAUGUGCAUAGCCUAAAGGCCAGGUUUUCAAUAUGAUGGGGUUGUGCAAAGCAUUUGAAAAAGAUGUCUUGCAAAGUAUGAUAAAUGUAAGCAGAACACCCCUCCUUGAAACAUUACUGUAAAGCAAAGCAGCUGUGUCUUCUUGAAAAUUUGCAGAGUUGCUUCCAAAGCUGUCCUUAGCUGGCAGUGCAUCCACAAAAAUAUACAGAGACCCACUGAGACUACAAACAAAACCAAGAGGUCAUAUGUGCACCACACGUGCCCAGAUGGCAUGAAACACUCACCUGAGCCUUCCAAAGAAUGCAGCCGCUUGAACCCAUGACAGAAGACCACUUAUAUCAACACACCUCCCAAACCAUCUCCAAACCACCAAAUACUUAGCACGGCAAUGAAACAGAAUACCAGCAAUCAAAGGGAGAUAAACUAUCUUGUCUCAAAAUAUUUUAUAUUCAAAUAAGGUUUAAGGACUACUAGAGCAACACUAAUGUGAUGCAUGAUUUGUUGCAGAAACAUUCUGCUACCCAAAAAGUGUUUAGGGUGGAGAUUUCAGCAUUGUGCUAUUAAAACAGCAUAACCAAUAUUAUUGCAAAACUGAUACAAUUCUGCUUGCCAUGAGGAAGCAUGAUGAUGAUAGGGAGCUUCGAAACACCAUUCUCAAAAUACAAGAUUUAAUACCUUUCAAUGAAACAGAUUUCCAUUUUUUAGCCUUUGAAGAUUUCAGAUGUACAGUAAGAUACACUUGUUAAAUAUCUCUAGUAUUUAUAUUCAGGACCAUGACCUGAUCUGCUAAUUAAACUUUGAACUGGAAUAAUUUCUUUCCUCUUUGUAUAAAGGUUUACAUUUUGUUUUUCAAAUGAACUCAUUUGUUUCAAUUCAAGACUGUAAAUGGCCCAGGGAGGGGAGGGAACACAACAAUGUAUGAAGUUUUACCAUUUCAUUAUUUCAACAUUUUUUUCUUUAGUUCAUGAUGUCAGUAUAGAAAAAUGAAAAUAAAAAUUUAAGACUCGCUUGGGUGACAGGUUACGAAUUUGACCUUGUUACCUACUUACAGAACUUACAAUAUGUAAAAGAAAUGGAAGACUGCAAUAAUAAAUAAAUAAAUAAAAAUGCACUGACAGAAGCAAUGUUUAAAUACCAAAUGUAAACCACUCAGUAAUGAAAGCUGCAAUCUAUUGUACUCAAGGGUUUUCAGACAGCACUGUAAGCAAGACUGAAAACUGAACAUGCAGUACAGAACAAUUCUUAUGACAUUUUGGUGCUGGCAUUAACUGUUGUAUUAAGCCUACAGAAAAAAAACUACUACUCAAAUUGUUGUAAAAAUAUAUUAAUUUUUGUUUUAAGAAACAUGAAAAAUAAAAUGACCAAGAAGUCCGUAGAAGUUUGUUAGUAUUUAUCUAUUGUGUCAGUGGUUCACAGGUUAAUUAUAUUCACAGUAUGUAGAAGUGAUGGAUGAG